Molecule: long non-coding RNA, 1318 nt
Filed under: Homo sapiens (human)
Lineage: Eukaryota; Metazoa; Chordata; Mammalia; Primates; Hominidae
Description: MIR31 host gene
Source: RNAcentral
GGCGGCGGCAGGUGUGGAUGGGGCGAAGGUGCGGGAACGUCCACUCCCGCGCGCCCCUCUCGGGGACCAGGGCGGCCUCCCAGGAGGAGCUUGGUUUCUGGUCCUCAUACCGUGUGGUUGAGUGAAAUCAAAACUUCCACGAUAGCAAUGCUGAUUGGACAAAGAAUGUGUUGUGGACACAAAACCAAACUCUGGAGGACAGAGGAUUCAUUCCAAGGGUCUGCUUGUAUUCAAUGACUGGUCUACGUGGGGGUGUGAAGUCCCCUUACUCCACCUGUGAAGAGUCUUCCCAGUUUCAGACCACCCUCCCAGCCUCCUGUUAUUGGCUAAGGCCAUUUUGUGACUACACUGCAGGGAAGCUGUAUCAAGACCUAAAUUUAACAGUUUCCUUUGAUUGCAUUGGCCCCAUGAAAAAUUUUCCCUGCAGUGGAAUGACUUGUUGGCUCCAAGGAAGAAACCACAAGAGGCAGCAGGUAGAGACAGAUUCUCUGGAAGUACCUUCUCAAGGCCAGUGUAGAGCUCCCAAUCACCCAGCAGAUUCUCCCUCUCCCACUGCCCGCACCAAGCAGGUCUCCAGGUGUUCCAGCUGCUGAUGAAGUCCAGUGUGGAGUUGGUCCAGGAGGGUCGUGUUCCAGGCAGCAGAGGAGCGCUCUGUGUGGAAGAGGCUGAAGAUCUGCUGCAGCAUCUCAUGGAGGACAGACAGGGCCUGGGCCUGCUGCAACUGGCUGUCAUACACAUCUCCAGGGGAAACCUGAAGUCUCUUCUGUCCUUGAGACACAAGAAAGGGGAGAUCCAUUUCAUUUGGCCCAGAAGCACCAACGUCUUCCUUCCUGUCAGACCAUGGUUCUGAGUCAGGUCACAUCCCAGAGAUCAAAAAGAGCCACAGCUGCACACAACUAGGACCACCACUAGAGAGUGAAGAUGGAGUCUCAGUCACCAGGCUGGAGUGCAGUGGCACAAUCUCAGCUCACUGCAACCUUCACCUCCUGGGUUCAAGCAAUUCCCCUGCCUCAGCCUCUCGAGUAGCUGGGACUACAGGUGCUCACCACCAUGCCUGGCUAAUUUUUUUUAUUUUAGUAGAGUCGGGGUUUCACCAUGUUGGCCAGGCUGGUCUCGAUCUCCUGAUCUCAUGAUCCACCUGCCUCGGCCUCCCAAAGUGCUGAGAUUAUAGGUUUGAGCCACCAUGACUGGCCGAAUUUUUGUAACUUCUUUUCACAUAGUGGUUUACUGGGUAAGGUGUAUCUUGCUUCUCCUACAUGAUAUUCUUAUUUAUGAUGAAUUAAAACAAAUAAAGAAAAGUAAAAGAAAGGCAAAGGAA